UACGAUAAAUGCUAAUUUUCUAGAAAUAAUAAGUCGUCUUUAUUACAGAGCCAUCAAAAACGAUUUAUAAAAGAUACUAUUCUAACCAUUAGUGGUUACAUGUCAGCCAUGUAACCCAUCUAAGAAACAAAAUGGAAAAUUGUCGUUUCGGCGCAUAAUAUUGUUUGUUGCAAGAACUUGGAGAUACUUCGGGUAGGUUGAGCUGCGAUCGACGAAAAGGAUUCCGCUUGAAUUACUUGUGUUAUAUUUUUCGAAGUCCACAAUCCUAUAUACUAGUUGUCAGUUAGAUUUUUUAACUUCUUCUUACUUUGCUGAUUUCUCAGUGAGAGUUAAAAGAAGAGAUAGGCAUUUUAAAUAAGAAUGACAUGUGUAUCUUUUAUAUGAAGUACAUGACUUUUUAAAUAAGGAACCAUUUGAUAAGGUAUCCUUUGAGUAAGUGAGAUCAUUGCAAGAUUUUCAAUGAAUUCUCCAAUUUUGU
RNAcentral lists this long non-coding RNA (478 nucleotides) under Cicer arietinum (chickpea). RNAcentral's name for it is "long non-coding RNA (CARI_LNC000488)". Lineage: Eukaryota; Viridiplantae; Streptophyta; Magnoliopsida; Fabales; Fabaceae. The record is from RNAcentral.